This 305-nucleotide ribosomal RNA is filed under the name uncultured bacterium. RNAcentral describes it as "bacterial SSU rRNA". It matches the Rfam family "Bacterial small subunit ribosomal RNA", at positions 335 to 657 of the family's 1533-position model. The record is from RNAcentral.
UACCUACGGGACGCAGCAGUGGGGAAUAUUGCACAAUGGGGGGAACCCUGAUGCAGCGACGCCGCGUGGGUGAAGGAGUGUUUCGGUAUGUAAAGCCCUAUCAGCAGGGAAGAACAAUGACGGUACCUGACUAAGAAGCACCGGCUAAAUACGUGCCAGCAGCCGCGGUAAUACGUAUGGGGCGAGCGUUGUCCGGAAUCACUGGGCGUAAAGGGCGCGUAGGCGGUAAUAUAAGUCAGAUGUGAAAGGUGGGGGCUCAACCCCUAGAGUGCAACUGAUACUGUAUAACUUGAGUGUGAGAGAGG